AUACGAAGGGUGCAAGCGUUACUCGGAAUUACUGGGCGUAAAGCGUGCGUAGGUGGUUGUUUAAGUCUGUCGUGAAAGCCCUGGGCUCAACCUGGGAAUGGCGAUGGAAACUGGGCGACUAGAGUGUGGCAGAGGGUAGUGGAAUUCCUGGUGUAGCAGUGAAAUGCGUAGAGAUCAGGAGGAACAUCCGUGGCGAAGGCGACUGCCUGGGCCAACACUGACACUGAGGCACGAAAGCGUGGGGAGCAAACAGGAUUAGAUACCCUGGUAGUCCACGCCCUAAAUGAUGCGAACUGGAUGUUGGGUGCAAUUUGGCACGCAGUAUCGAAGCUAACGCGUUAAGUUCGCCGCCUGGGGAGUACGGUCGCAAGACUGAAACUCAAAGGAAUUGGCGGGG
Molecule: ribosomal RNA, 397 nt
Filed under: uncultured bacterium
Lineage: Bacteria
Description: partial 16S ribosomal RNA
Rfam family: Bacterial small subunit ribosomal RNA
Source: RNAcentral